Molecule: ribosomal RNA, 242 nt
Filed under: uncultured bacterium
Lineage: Bacteria
Description: partial 16S ribosomal RNA
Rfam family: Bacterial small subunit ribosomal RNA
Source: RNAcentral
GGCGCACGGGUGAGUAACGCGUAUGCAACCUACCUUACACAGGGAGAUAGCCCGAAGAAAUUCGGAUUAAUAUCCCAUAGUAUUAUCGAAUAGCAUUUUUUGAUAAUUAAAGCUCCGGCGGUGUAAGAUGGGCAUGCGUCCCAUUAGCUAGAUGGUGAGGUAACGGCUCACCAUGGCAACGAUGGGUAGGGGGCCUGAGAGGGUGGUCCCCCACACUGGUACUGAGACACGGACCAGACUCC